CCUACGGGUGGCUGCAGUGGGGAAUAUUGGACAAUGGGGGGAACCCUGAUCCAGCCAUGCCGCGUGUGUGAAGAAGGCCCUCGGGUUGUAAAGCACUUUCAGUGAGGAAGAACGCCUGGUGGUUAAUACCCAUCAGGAAAGACAUCACUCACAGAAGAAGCACCGUCUAACUCCGUGCCAGCAGCCGCGGUAAUACGGAGGGUGCGAGCGUUAAUCGGAAUUACUGGGCGUAAAGCGCGCGUAGGUGGCUUGAUAAGCCGGUUGUGAAAGCCCCGGGCUCAACCUGGGAACGGCAUCCGGAACUGUCAAGCUAGAGUGCAGGAGAGGAAGGUAGAAUUCCCGGUGUAGCGGUGAAAUGCGUAGAGAUCGGGAGGAAUACCAGUGGCGAAGGCGGCCUUCUGGACUGACACUGACACUGAGGUGCGAAAGCGUGGGUAGCAAACAGGAUUAGAUACCCCUGUAGUC
RNAcentral lists this ribosomal RNA (465 nucleotides) under Vreelandella stevensii. Its description in RNAcentral is "partial 16S ribosomal RNA". It matches the Rfam family "Bacterial small subunit ribosomal RNA", at positions 338 to 795 of the family's 1533-position model. Lineage: Bacteria; Pseudomonadati; Pseudomonadota; Gammaproteobacteria; Oceanospirillales; Halomonadaceae. The record is from RNAcentral.